GACGAACGCUGGCGGCGUGCUUAACACAUGCAAGUCGAACGGAAAGGCCCUGCUUUUGUGGGGUGCUCGAGUGGCGAACGGGUGAGUAACACGUGAGUAACCUGCCCUUGACUUUGGGAUAACUUCAGGAAACUGGGGCUAAUACCGGAUAGGAGCUCCUGCUGCAUGGUGGGGGUUGGAAAGUUUCGGCGGUUGGGGAUGGACUCGCGGCUUAUCAGCUUGUUGGGGGGGUAGUGGCUUACCAAGGCUUUGACGGGUAGCCGGCCUGAGAGGGUGACCGGCCACAUUGGGACUGAGAUGCGGCCCAGACUCCUACGGGAGGCAGCGGUGGAGAAUAUUGCACAAUGGGCGGAAGCCUAAUGCAGCAACGCCGCGUGCGGGAAGACGGCCUUCGGGUUGUAAACCGCUUUCGCCUGUGACGAAGCGUGAGUGACGGUAAUGGGUAAAGAAGCACCGGCUAACUACGUG
RNAcentral lists this ribosomal RNA (468 nucleotides) under uncultured bacterium. Its description in RNAcentral is "partial 16S ribosomal RNA". It matches the Rfam family "Bacterial small subunit ribosomal RNA", at positions 28 to 507 of the family's 1533-position model. The record is from RNAcentral.